GUUGUCGUUGCCGAGUAAUUGAGGCAAUAGACUAUAAAUCUUUUGGGAUCUUACCGCGCAGGUUCGAAUCUUGCCGACAACG
Molecule: transfer RNA, 82 nt
Filed under: Dreissena polymorpha
Lineage: Eukaryota; Metazoa; Mollusca; Bivalvia; Myida; Dreissenidae
Rfam family: tRNA
About the family: Transfer RNA (tRNA) molecules are approximately 80 nucleotides in length. Their secondary structure includes four short double-helical elements and three loops (D, anti-codon, and T loops).
Source: Rfam by way of RNAcentral